GGCGUGACAAUAUAUAUAUAUAUAUAUAUAUAUAUAUAUAUAUAUAUAUAUAUUACUUUGAAAAUUUAAGUUUGAAUAUGAUAUGUUUUAAAAUUUGGUAAAGUGAAAUGCUUGCUUUCGAGUUUGGAUUUUCAGAUGUAAAAUUUGGUAAAGUGAAAUGCUGGCUUUCGAGUUUGGAUUUUCAGGUUUGGGUUCACAUUUUGAUUUUUUAAAUUUUUAAAAUUGGACGGAUUUGAGUUUACUUACAGAUUUUGAUUUUUAUUGUCAGAUUUGGAUUCGAAUUUUUAAAAAUUCAUUCGGAAUCCGACGUGUUGGCAUAUCUGGUAG
RNAcentral lists this long non-coding RNA (327 nucleotides) under Ananas comosus (pineapple). RNAcentral's name for it is "long non-coding RNA (ACOM_LNC025863)". Lineage: Eukaryota; Viridiplantae; Streptophyta; Magnoliopsida; Poales; Bromeliaceae. The record is from RNAcentral.